Molecule: ribosomal RNA, 492 nt
Filed under: uncultured bacterium
Lineage: Bacteria
Description: partial 16S ribosomal RNA
Rfam family: Bacterial small subunit ribosomal RNA
Source: RNAcentral
AGUGAACGCUGGCGGUAGGCCUAACACAUGCAAGUCGAACGGCAGCACAGUAAGAGCUUGCUCUUACGGGUGGCGAGUGGCGGACGGGUGAGGAAUACAUCGGAAUCUACUUUUUCGUGGGGGAUAACGUGGGGAAACUUACGCUAAUACCGCAUACGACCUACGGGUGAAAGCAGGGGAUCUUCGGACCUUGCGCGAUUGAAUGAGCCGAUGUCGGAUUAGCUAGUUGGCGGGGUAAAGGCCCACCAAGGCGACGAUCCGUAGCUGGUCUGAGAGGAUGAUCAGCCACACUGGAAGUGAGACACGGUCCAGACUCCUACGGGAGGCAGCAGUGGGGAAUAUUGGACAAUGGGCGCAAGCCUGAUCCAGCCAUACCGCGUGGGUGAAGAAGGCCUUCGGGUUGUAAAGCCCUUUUGUUGGGAAAGAAAAGCAGCAGGUUAAUACCCCGCUGUUCUGACGGUACCCAAAGAAUAAGCACCGGCUAACUUCGUG